Equus caballus (horse) is the source of this 8366-nucleotide long non-coding RNA. Lineage: Eukaryota; Metazoa; Chordata; Mammalia; Perissodactyla; Equidae. The record is from Ensembl.
GAGCACCUGCUGUGUACUUGCGGAGCACUUCUACCCACUUUACAUAGACUAUGUUAAAUCCUUGCAAAUACUCUACUGGGUAGUUGUAUUAUUGAUGCGGGAUCGGUGAGCCGAGGAGUCGAAAGAAAGAUUUCUUAGACUCUCAAGAUCUGGCAGUAGUGCUCUUUUAUUUAGAGAAUAGUGUGGAAUAGCAUGGGGACAGGACCCAUGGGCAGGCAGAGCUUCUGCUGCUGCUGCCGCUGGCAUGGGGACAGGACCCAUGGGCAGGCAGAGCUGGUGCGUGGGGACAGGACCCACGGGCGGUCAGAGCUCCUGCUGCUGCCGAGUUGAGGGUUAGGGCUAAUUUUAUAAGGCAUGGGUACGUGACUUAUUUUUACUGGAGAAAAGAAAAGAUGAUGUAAAAAGUCAUUAAAUGAUUUCAGUGCAGAUGGGGUCUGGUUAUUGUGCGGUCAUAUAACUUUAGAUACGAAUCUGGCCAUAUAGAUCGGCAUGCAGGUGAGGAUGCCCCGGGCUUCUCUCCCUGGGGCAGUCCUAAUUCAUACCAUAAAAAAAGUCCACUGGGUCGUAUAGUUUGGCACGUAGGCCAGGUCACCUUGGGCUUCUCUAGCUGGGGCAGCCUUAAUCCACAUCAUAAACCCCCCCUGAACCCAUUUGGCCCCAAAAUCUUUUGGGGAUAUGGACGACGGUCAGUCUUCUGUAACUACUUCCGGCUGUACAAGGUCGUAGAGCUGUCCCUAAAUGGGGCCAUAGGUAUAGGUAGGGGGUUCAGCGGACCGGAAGACUGCACCCGUGGAGUCCAAGGCUGACAAGGCAUCCAGAGCCUCUGGGGACGAGAGAAUCAUUUGUCGAGUGGUGGUCCAGGAGGUGAAACUUUGUUGACAUGCGGAAGACAAACAACGAAACAGACAACAAAUUAUAAUAGGAAAUACUAGCAAUAUGAUUAACCCAAUGAAUAAGGUUUUGGUAGUAGUCUAGAAACCUCGUCCUGACCAGGAGUUCAAACAGUCAUUUAGAGAUAGGGGAGGGUCAGACAUGGACUUAACUUGGUGGCUCAUAUCAGACAGGAAGCCAGAGAUAUUUUGAUGGUAGUCAGGAAUAUAGACACAACAUUCAGUUUUUAUAAUGGCACAGGUGCCCCCUGUGCUGCUGUCAAGACAUCUAGUGCCAUUCGGUUUUGGAGGACUGCCUUAUACAUUUGGGACACUUCUAAAUCAAGCAGCAAAAGGCUAUGUUGUGUAUCAUUUUAACGCUUUCAUAGUAAAUUUGUUUAGAGCUUCCAUGGGCCAGAUGACACUUUCGAUUCCUAACUGGGGAAGGAAAAUUGAGGCAACGUGGUCAUACCAGUGGAAGACAGAGCAGGUCCAGCGCUGUUGCAGGUUGGGUCGGUUAGCAGGAGGAGAGAUAGUAAAUGUAGACCUUGCAUCCUGACAAAGCCUAGAGUGCAUCGUCCAAUCCAUCCAGGUGGCAGCCAAAGCCAUAAGUUGGAGCCACAUAGCCACUGAGUGCCAUUAGGGGCUAACCAACGCGUGCUGGGCCGUCUAUCCCAGUCAGUCCCAAACCAAUCAGUAUUUUUUAAGCUUAUGAUAUGAGAACACAUAUGACAGGGAAUUUUCCCAUAGGUCGGGUGCUAUUAGGCCAUGUAUCACAGGUGUGAUUGGUUUGUUCCCAAGAUAGAGUGGACUUUUACUGAGUUGAUCACUAGCAGGAGUGAGCCAAAUAUAUUCGUCCCAAAUUUGAUAUAGUCCAUCCUGUGUGUAUCAAUAAGUUGGGGACUUUACCUUUGGAACUUGUCGUUUAUGAUCCACCUAUGACAAGGCAAAUCUAGUUAGUAUUUGGGCAGCAGUAUUGAAGGAAAAGGUUUGAUUGUGGCCAGGGAACUCCCAGGUAUCAGAGACAGAUGGCCACAAGGAGACAUGAUUAGUAAUAGAUGACUCUUGUAGAGGAGAAGAGCUAGAAUCUAAUAUCCAUAAAUGCGUACUAUAGCUUCUACUGAAACAUAAUUUUUCUCUCUAAAAUCACCCUCAUUUUUACAAAAGAUAGCCAAAUUAAGAUUAACUGGUUUGCAAAAUAAGUGUAGUUUCAAUAAAACUUGGUCCAAUUAUUGACAUAAGUGCAGCAAGAAUGGCAAUUGAUUAUACAGGCUUUUUAAAUCUGCUUUGCUGGAAUUUUUCUUAUGAGGAAUCUCAGAUUGAACUGUAAAGGCCUCUCGAGGCCAGAAAAGCCAAGCCAAGGACUUGCCAUCAGAUUUUGCCUGCAGUACCUCCAGAUUUGGGUGGACUCCUCUCUUCUCGAGGUCCUCCAAAAUAUUCUGAGGUUCCUUGCACCUGCCAGAUAAGCAAGCUUCCUUACUUACCAGGUAAGAUUGCCAGAAUCUCUGUAAACAAGGUACCAGGCCCAUGUUUCCAAGUGGCUGUAUUCCAGAAAGUCCAAUCUUUGUUCCUGAAAAGCUGUCUUGUCAUAUCCGAGCCUGUAUGUUUCGCUCAAAUAUGACAUUCCAGUCAAAGCCUUGGUAAGAUAACCAAUGUGUCCUGUUAUAAGGAGACCAAAUUCUUAUUGAACUUAUGCAAAUAACUAUAUUGCCACGAAAUAACCGUACUCACAAAGAGUUUCCAAAUUCUGGAGGGAUCAGGUCGGGAGAAAAAGACAAAUGUUUCAGUUUUGCUCAUAAAGAUGUAUUUCACUAAAUUGCUGUAAGUCAUAGUUAGCAUAAGAGAAAAGAAAGAAAGAUUUCCUUAAACAUGAGAAAACAAAACAAAACAUCAAAACUCAGCAAUAUUUCAAACAGAAGUCAUAAAAAAUUAUAAUCAUUCUCAUCAGUUCACACAGUCCUGUAUAAUUGAUUAUUGAGUUUAAUCUUCUGUUAGCAGGUCUAUGAGCUUAGUUUCUGUUAGAAUUCUGUAAUUUCUUACCCAGUUCAGUUUUACAAUCUGAAAGUUUAUCAGAAACCUGUAGUUUAGAACCCUUGUGUCAGAAUCCUUUCCAGGAAUUUCUCUGGACAUGAAACAUAUUUGCAAAAGCAAAAAGCAUCAGUGUAAAACAGCAACUAUCUGCAAAUGGACAAAAGACUCAAAAGGGCAAUUGACAAAGAAACUUGGCUAUUUCUGUGACAUAUAACACUUUAAGAUAAUAACUGGAAUUAUGACUGAUAACCAGAACAGAUUAGAAUUUUAGGAAUGCUAUAUAAUGUUAAGACACGUAUAUUAAUAACAUUCACCCACGUAAUACCACAUAAGAAAGUUUAUCAUCGCUUAUUUGACAAUGCUUCCCAUGUAAUUUAGUAAACCAAAUAAACCUAAUUAAUUUAGUAUUUUCCUCCUUAUAGGAAGAGAGCAAAUUUCUUUGAGAAGUCUCAGGGGCCCUCUGAAAAUCCUCAGAGAAAUUCUUCUUCCAUCUACUAGGUCAAAAGAAAGCCUUUAUUCAGGAUUUGAAUAUUUUUGAGGGAGAAGCUUGUCAAAAAUAUCAAAAGUUUUUAAAAUGCUUGUUCAAUAGGAAACAACGCUCACUGUUAAACAAUGCUCAGGCAUCCAUUCAAAGUGACAACAGAGACAGUCAAGAGCAAACAACACCGUCAAAAAAAUUUUAGAAGAGACCUCUUUCUUUCUGAAUAUAGGAAAUUAUUUUAACAAAACAUAGAUUUUCUGUCUUUUAGGUAGAGUUAGAGCAGGCCAAAAGUUCAAGAAAAUUAUGCUUUGAGAGAAAACCAAAUUUUAAUUUCUGUACCAGCUUAUUUUUAACAUUAAAACUCAUUCACUUAAUUGGAUUUACUCUAAUCUUAGUCUACUUGACCAGGCAUAAAACUCCUUUCAGAAUUCCUCCUUCACAAAUCUACAACUUUCUUUUUGCCUUCAGAAUUUGUCCCAAAGUCUGUCUUUUUUUCUUUCUAGUACUUUAGGACAAACUUAUCUUUCUUAACCCAUCAAACAAAAAUACUUCCAUUCUUUAUACCCUCUUUACUGAAAACAUACAUUUUAACUUUCCUUCAAUACAGAGCUGUUUUCCUUAUUAACUUCCAGUAGCUUUAAUUAUAUAGGUUAAUAAGAACUUUUAACCCUUAACAGACCAUAGUAAACACUAAAAAGGUAAGCAAUUAUGAAUUGUCUUUUAUACCAGCAUUCUAAACACUUCAUAAUUUCUAGAAACACGCUGCUUUACAAUAACAGACCCAAAGACUUUUAGCCUCUCUGCAAUAAGAAGCCAAAAGUAGAUAACUUAGAUAAGUUUGGCUAUAAUGCUUGUGUGCUAUCCAAUCCAAAAAUGACCCAGAUGCUCAGAUUUUUAUCAUUUAACUUAACUUGGCAAAACUCAAGAUUGUUAUCAAAACAAUUUGGAAGCUUUUUUUUUUUUUUUCAAGUAUACAGACCAUAAAACAGUUAUUGUACCCACAAAAACUUCAUGAGACAUUAGACAAAACUGGUCAUCCUUUAAAGCUAUUAUUUUGCUGACGAAUUUAACAGACAAUGUGAACUUAUUUGACUAGUAAACCCAGGCUGCAUGCCUGCAUCAUAUGCAAAUACUGACAACUCUGACAAGAAGACUAUUUUCAAUCAAACCAACAAACUUAAACAAGCUUUCAUUUACCAAAAGUUAAUUCACAUCAAGUUAACUUGAAAGACAUUGGAUUAAUUUCUACUACAUUUAGAAUUUAUGUAAGCGCUUACUUGAAGCCAAUUAAACAGAGCUCUUAAUUUUGGUAACACCAUCCGGAGGUAAAAUAUCACACAUAUAACGUACACAUAGACACACGUACACAGAGACUGCACAGCUAUUGUUAGAGCUAUUGUUUUUUUACCAAUAUUUGUGGAGAAGAUACUCAAGAUGCUAGAUUUUUUGCAAGGGCACGCUUAUGGCCGUUUUCCCUCUCCCCUCCUCUUUCUUUCUUUCUUUCUUUUUUUUUUUUUUUUUCAGUCUUAGGAAUUAGUGAUGGGCUAGAUAGUAGUUCCUGGAGAGGGGAGAUGAUAAUCCUUUCUGUGAUAAAGGAACUAGGUGGAAUCUGAACUGCCUCUAGAGCUGUAUUUCCAGUCUUGCAAGGAUUUUCUAAGGACAGUUGCUCUUGAUUUCCCAGAAACUGGAUUGUAACUCAAAUUACAUUCCAGGUUGAUCUACCUGUCCAACUGCAUCACAAAGGCACAGAGAAACCCCUCAAAUUUUCUCCCAGAUGGAGUUAGAACGCAUCCACAGGGUGGGUCUCUGGGGAUGCUUAGGAACCUUCCCCGUGGCGGUAAAGCCAGUGUCUGACUGACAGCAGCUGGAGAAAGGGUGCAGAGGCCGAUUGCGGGUGUGCAGAGGCCGAUUGCGGGUGUUGACAUAGUUAUAAGAUUUAGUCAAGUCCCGCUCAGCCUGGGCACUUUGUCUCUGAGCCAGCAAAGUUGAGGUAGGGAAGCAGGAGGCAAAGGCCUGGAACUGGCUGGAGGCUGGGGCUCCCAGAGCCAGGUUUGAGAGUUAAAUCCCUGGCAAAAGGCUUAUUUUUCCAAUUUUACAGAAGGUCAAGGUUCUGCUCAGGUCUAACCUGAACUUAACCUCUACUUGGUGACAACAGAAGAGAUGGUGAGCAAAACAGACAAAGAAAGGAAAAGAAGAGAUCAGACCUCACCCUCAUGGCCUCUUCCAGAGGGUUAUCAAGAUAAGAGUCACACAACAGUUCCUGUACUGGGGCACACUACGCUAGCACGACAGUUCACAGAAUAAAUCACAGGUCUCCUACCCUCAUAACCGACUCAGUAGGUGACUAAAAUACUCAAUGAGUCGACUGUCAAGAGAGGGCACCCCCACUUAGGGUUGCUGGGGUGAUCAGGCCCAGAAACCCAAAGUUGGGGCUCCCAGGGGUGGAGCCUUUUACUCUUUAAAGAUUUCUUUGUUUCCCAGUCACAAGGCUCAAAAGGAGAUGAAAAUUGCCAUUGUAACUCCAAGAGAGACAAAAGAAACGGGUCCAUUACCAUGAAAAAUCCCCCCUGAACCUAGGGCAGCGUCCUACCCGUUGUUCCUACUGUGGGGUUCCUAUAGCAAGGGGUGAUGGGGGCGUCCCCCAGCAUUGCAUCCCUUGUAUACCUUCCCUGUUAUGCCUGGCAGUAACAGGUGCCUGGUGCCUAUUCUGCCUGACAGCAUAGGCCUGGUGAAUGGUUCCCGAGAGAAAAGGAGAAAGAAAAGGGGCCAUUACCUUGAAAAUCCCCCCAUUGGGGUUCCUGUAGCAAGGGAUGAUGGGGGCAUCCCUUGAACAUCUUCCCUAUUCUGCCUGGCAGGAAUAGGUGCCUGGCGUAUGGUCCCAGAGAAAGGGAGCCAUUACCUUGAAAAUCCCCCCAAUGGAGUUCCUGUAGCAAGGGAUGAUGGGGGCAUCCCUUGAACAUCUUCCCUAUUCUGCCUGACAGUAAUAGGUGCCUGGCGUAUGGUCCCAGAGAAAGGGAGCCAUUACCUUGAAAAUCCCCCCAAUGGAGUUCCUGUAGCAAGGGAUGAUGGGGGCAUCCCUUGAACAUCUUCCCUAUUCUGCCUGACAGUAAUAGGUGCCUGGCGUAUGGUCCCAGAGAAAGGGAGCCAUUACCUUGAAAAUCCCCCCAUUGGGGUUCCUGUAGCAAGGGAUGAUGGGGGCAUCCCUUGAACAUCUUCCCUAUUCUGCCUGGCAGGAAUAGGUGCCUGGCGUAUGGUCCCCAGGAGAGAAAAGGACAAAGACAGUGAGAAAGAGAAAGACAGUGAGGAAUUUUCCGCCAGUCUGGGGGACAUUCUACCCAAUUGCAUCCUGGAGCCAUUCUCCCAAGAAGGGGUUCCCAUACUCCACCAAAGGUUAGAGUUUGGUACUUCCCUUGAACUGGAGUCCCGAGUGGGACUUUCCUCGCAGUUCAGAGCGUGGUCAGGUGCCAGAGGGAGGGAUGCCAAUCCAGCCUUAGGAAAAGAAACCUUCCACGGGAGUCUUGGAGAUUGGCGGCCGUCCUAACGACUUAAGUGGCCGACCCGCGCCCACGUAAAAUUUGUCUAUUAGAGAUAGAGUCAGGAAGGAAUGGAUUAAUUCAUUCUCCAUCACCCUGAGGCUUAAGGUACUGAAUCUCUUCAAGCUGAAUGCCACAAUUUGCCCCAUAGAGUAGCCAUGGGCAGCAAACGUGGAUUCAUACAGCCAUCCAAGAAAGUUCCCGAUGGAGCAGUGAAUCUAGAUCCAUCCUUGAAAAAGAGCAGGAAGGAAUGGAUUAAUUCAUUCUCCAUCACCCUGAGGCUUAAGGUACUGAAUCUCUUCAAGCUGAAUGCCACAAUUUGCCCCAUAGAGUAGCCAUGGGCAGCAAACGUGGAUUCAUACAGCUGUCCGAGAAAGUUCCCGAUGGAGCAGUGAAUCUAGAUCCAUCCUUGAAAAAGAGAAAGGCACAAGGAAGAAAAGGGCACUUACCAGAACUCGAGCUCACAAGCCGAUGAAGCAAUUCCCCGUACGGGCCACCAGAAAUGAUGCGGGAUCGGUGAGCCGAGGAGUCGAAAGAAAGAUUUCUUAGACUCUCAAGAUCUGGCAGUAGUGCUCUUUUAUUUAGAGAAUAGUGUGGAAUAGCAUGGGGACAGGACCCAUGGGCAGGCAGAGCUUCUGCUGCUGCUGCCGCUGGCAUGGGGACAGGACCCAUGGGCAGGCAGAGCUGGUGCGUGGGGACAGGACCCACGGGCGGUCAGAGCUCCUGCUGCUGCCGAGUUGAGGGUUAGGGCUAAUUUUAUAAGGCAUGGGUACGUGACUUAUUUUUACUGGAGAAAAGAAAAGAUGAUGUAAAAAGUCAUUAAAUGAUUUCAGUGCAGAUGGGGUCUGGUUAUUGUGCGGUCAUAUAACUUUAGAUACGAAUCUGGCCAUAUAGAUCGGCAUGCAGGUGAGGAUGCCCCGGGCUUCUCUCCCUGGGGCAGUCCUAAUUCAUACCAUAAAAAAAGUCCACUGGGUCGUAUAGUUUGGCACGUAGGCCAGGUCACCUUGGGCUUCUCUAGCUGGGGCAGCCUUAAUCCACAUCAUUAUGAUUCCCGUUUUACAGAUGUGGGAAUUGAGGGGUUACUUAUGUAACUUGCCCAAAAUUAUCCAGCUGGCAACACUUGGGACUAGCAUGCGGGCAGCCUCCAGCGCGCUGGGGUCAACUGCUGCAACGGUUCAAGAUCCCGAGUCCGAAGUUCAUUCACCACACAGCCAUAGUUACUUGCCUCUAUAUAUACCUUUCCCACUAGAUUGUGAGAUUAAAUUUCGUAAAACUGAAGCACAACAUCAUACAGAAAAGUACAGAAAUCAUAAGUGUACUCUGCAGUUGUUACAAUGUGGACGCUCUUGUACAACCAUCACUGAGUUUAAGAAACAGAGCAUGCUCAGCAUCCCAGAAGCGCCCCAUCACUCUCAGUCACUGCCCUGUUCCUCCUCUGAAGUGACCACUACC